RNAcentral lists this ribosomal RNA (484 nucleotides) under uncultured bacterium. Its description in RNAcentral is "partial 16S ribosomal RNA". It matches the Rfam family "Bacterial small subunit ribosomal RNA", at positions 30 to 507 of the family's 1533-position model. The record is from RNAcentral.
AUUGAACGCUGGCGGCAGGCCUAACACAUGCAAGUCGAGCGGAUGAAGGGAGCUUGCUCCUGGAUUCAGCGGCGGACGGGUGAGUAAUGCCUAGGAAUCUGCCUGGUAGUAGGGGAUAACGUCCGGAAACGGGCGCUAAUACCGCAUACGUCCUGAGGGAGAAAGUGGGGGAUCUUCGGACCUCACGCUAUCAGAUGAGCCUAGGUCGGAUUAGCUAGUUGGUGGGGUAAAGGCCUACCAAGGCGACGAUCCGUAACUGGUCUGAGAGGAUGAUCAGUCACACUGGAACUGAGACACGGUCCAGACUUCUACGGGAGGCAGCAGUGGGGAAUAUUGGACAAUGGGCGAAAGCCUGAUCCAGCCAUGCCGCGUGUGUGAAGAAGGUCUUCGGAUUGUAAAGCACUUUAAGUUGGGAGGAAGGGCAGUAAGUUAAUACCUUGCUGUUUUGACGUUACCAACAGAAUAAGCACCGGCUAACUUCGUG